GCUGUAAUGUGUGCAUAGUUUUCAUCUGUGUCUGAUAGCAUUGUCUGUCUGUGUUUUGCAAUCAGAUUGUGCUAUCCACGCAAACGUCAUGCAGCCUAAGAGUAACCUGGGAUCAUAGUACUGGUCUAGUGUUGUCUCUUUGGACUUACCUACCACUGGCCAGCCUCCAAAUUCCCAUACAGAG
This is a small nucleolar RNA of Manis pentadactyla (Chinese pangolin), 184 nucleotides long. RefSeq annotates it as small nucleolar RNA SNORA23. NCBI's taxonomy places the organism in Eukaryota, Metazoa, Chordata, Mammalia, Pholidota, Manidae. The record is from RefSeq and is a predicted model, not a curated record. The transcript has a single exon.